This 76-nucleotide transfer RNA is filed under the name Helicobacter pylori. RNAcentral's name for it is "tRNA-Val". It matches the Rfam family "tRNA". Rfam says of the family: Transfer RNA (tRNA) molecules are approximately 80 nucleotides in length. Their secondary structure includes four short double-helical elements and three loops (D, anti-codon, and T loops). Further hydrogen bonds mediate the characteristic L-shaped molecular structure. tRNAs have two regions of fundamental functional importance: the anti-codon, which is responsible for specific mRNA codon recognition, and the 3' end, to which the tRNAs corresponding amino acid is attached (by aminoacyl-tRNA synthetases). tRNAs cope with the degeneracy of the genetic code in two manners: having more than one tRNA (with a specific anti-codon) for a particular amino acid; and 'wobble' base-pairing, i.e. permitting non-standard base-pairing at the 3rd anti-codon position. Lineage: Bacteria; Pseudomonadati; Campylobacterota; Epsilonproteobacteria; Campylobacterales; Helicobacteraceae. RNAcentral also lists the same sequence under 1 other name. The record is from RNAcentral.
GGUCGCGUAGCUCAGUUGGUAGAGCACUACCUUGACAUGGUAGUGGCCACUGGUUCAAGUCCAGUCGUGGCCACCA